Molecule: long non-coding RNA, 1177 nt
Filed under: Homo sapiens (human)
Lineage: Eukaryota; Metazoa; Chordata; Mammalia; Primates; Hominidae
Description: HSALNT0352261
Source: RNAcentral
UUGAGCUGCGAGCUGAGGAGGCCCGUUGGCUGUUCCCGCAAAGAGUGGGGGGCGCAUUUUCUCUCCUGCCAGCCCGCUCCAUCCUGGUCGUUUAUUCCCGGCCUUCCCUCACCCCCCACCCCCACAGCCUGCUGGGAAACCAGACGACCCAGCGGCCACGGGACGAGUCACCCCAACUCAACCCCAGCAGGACGCUGGAGGGGCCUCCCUUGCCCACCUCUCUUCGCUAGCACUGGCCUCCCGCACCUGGGUCUGCAGUCCCUCCGCCAUCUCACAAGUGUGCAGCCGCUAGGCCUGGGGGAUCCGAAUGACUGGGGCUGGAUAGGAAUGCCUUCGUGUUUCCCAAGACCCCCGGGCCUGCUCCACAAAGUUUGAAGGGAGCCCCUGUUUUAAGAAGGAGGCCAAAUGUGCAGGCUCAGGCCAAGCAGCAGAGAUGAAUGAGGUGAUGACCACAGCCUUGAUCCGGCAGGAGCUCAGAGAUGCCCGGGAAGACGGGGGGCCCGAAUGGAAGCAGAAAAACACUUAUGGCCGCUGGGAAGUUGGGAGAGCCAGGCUGGGGCUCCGGCAGGCCCAGGGAAAGUUCCCUUUCUAGGCUCUUUAUUAAAAAAUUUAAAAGGAGGAGUUGAGGCGCCUUGAAUUUUCCUUCGCGAGUUUGGAGACCAGCCGAUUUUUCAUGAAGCAAGCAAGGGCCGCGGUCCCGGAUCCUGCAACAUAUACCUCAUUUUCUCCAGGCCUCUCCACUUGCCCGAGCUCUCAGCCACCAGGAGACAGACGGAAGGGGCUUCUGGGCUGUGUUGGGAGCGGGCAUUGUCCCCUACCCACUCCUGCACAGUUUCCCAAAGUCCAGCGACCUCCGACCCUCCUUGGGGAAAAAAAUACCAGUACCCAGACACCUCUGCACCCUGUUAUAUGACUGGGCUUGCUUCAGGAAUAUCUUACAAAGAAGAAGAAGGAGGAGGAACGGCUUGGAGUCAUGUUUACAUCUAGUUCUACUGAUCCGUUCACAUCUGGAGAGUUUAUUUAUAACUCCCUCUAUAACUCUCUGUUUGGAGGCACUGGUGGCUCUACUGACAGACUGAUGUCUAGGAAAUAUUGCUCUAUGUCUAAUGGUACCUAAAUGUGCUGUGGUUGUAUUUACAGAUUUACGUUUGAGGGAAAUAUAAUUAUUUCCAUUGUA